UUGUUGCAACUUGAUCUCAGCCAACGCGACGAAACGGUAGGACGAAUGUGACCAUCAAUUCGUUGCACCGUUUCGUCGCGUCUUCUAGACACCGCUACGCGUGCUGCCCUCAAUGGCACAAUUUUAAUUCUUUCGCUCUGUCAACAGCAGACGUUUUGGGCGCGAAAAAUCAUGUAAACAGUAUUUUGUGGUAUAUUUGUGGAAAAGAAAUGGAGAAGAAUUAAGAAAGGAAAGAAGUGCGGUUUUAAGAAGACGCAACUUGUCUGAAGUGGGUAGAGGAAACGGUUGCAAAUUGAUGAGCGAAGCGAAAAAACGGAGAAAUUAUCAUUCAGAUCAAAGAUUUACAGGGCACUCCUUCUUUGAAUCUUCCUGUAAGCCCCACUGCUGCUUCCCCCAUUCCUUCAAGCUGUCCUCCGCUAAAUGCUGAUGAUACUUGGAUUGUCAUCUUUAGGAAAGAGAUCGAUGGGACCACUGUUAAGAUGAAAUUUCCAAAAUUCCAUGGAAAUCGAGUUGGUGGGCUAAUCACUAUCAACGGAGAAAAGUACUUAUGUGCCACCAUUUAACAAAAGGGUUCUCAGCAAACUGCAUGCUAGAACUUACGUGACCCUAUAUUAUUUCCUCAACUUUUCUAAAUUCAGAUAAAAUUUUUAAAAUUCUACAAAAUUCGAUUCUGCUGUGAAUGAGCCUGCGUACUCCAAAAAAGAUCAUUCCUUUUAUCAAGUCUUCUAUAAUACAGAUAAAUUUCUCAAAAUUACACAAAGAUUGAAGGAAUGGAAUAUUCACUAAAACUAGAAAAAUAUUAAGCGGAUGUCCAAAGGAAAGGUCCACAAUGCACUACAAAAGAAAACUAUCUUUGAGUGUUAUUGUUGGUAUUGAUAGUGUUCAUCUUGAUACGAGGUCAAUGUUUUCAAUUCUGCUGUGAAUGAGCCUGCGUACUAAAAAAAGGAUCCUUUCUUUUAUCAAGUCUGCUAUAAUUCAGUUUAGAUUGAAUCAAAUAUGCAAAUGUGGCAUAUAUAACAAAGCAUUUUUUUUUUUAGAUAAAAUUCAGAAAAUUACAUAAAGAAUCUGGGAAUGGAAUAUUCACUGAGACUAGAAAAAUAUCAAGCAAAGGUCCAAAAGAAACAUCCUUCAAUACACUACAAAAGACAACUAUCUUUGAGUGUUAUUGUUGAUAUUGAUAAUGUUGUUGUACAUCUUGAUAUGGCAGUCAAUGUUUUUUACUUUUUCAAUUGAGACUGUUUUUUUUUCUUCAUGUAAUGAUGUUCAGUUU
This is a long non-coding RNA of Daphnia magna, 1270 nucleotides long. RefSeq lists it as uncharacterized. The record is from RefSeq and is a predicted model, not a curated record. The transcript has 6 exons. Lineage: Eukaryota; Metazoa; Arthropoda; Branchiopoda; Diplostraca; Daphniidae.